GACAACUGUAUAAAACAAAAAACUACACACAAUAUCCGAAGCACAUAGUGCACACUGUGGGAAUUUACGACUGUGCGUAAAUCCCCCCUAAUAUUGGUAUGAUCCGAGCUCAGGCACUAAGCGACUGAGCGAGGGGGCGGGGGGAGCUGCUGCCUCGAGUGCGCUGUUGGAGAAGCGCAGCCAGGCAGACAGAGGAGAACUGAAGUUUGACCAGCUCCAGUUCACUCUACUCACCUACCUGCCCUCCGGCCACAGUCAUGGCAGUCCACCGAUUCCCUGGAGUCUGGCUGCUUCACCUGGACCGCUCGACCUCCCCCAAACACCAGUUCUCUACCUGCAAAGUUGUACUGAGACUCCCGGAUGCAUCUCUGAUGCCCAUGCCCUUCCUCCUUGCCCUGAACCUAAACUUACAAAAUGAAUUUAGUUUUCUCUCAUGUUCUAUGUUCUUGUACCAGGUUCUAUAUCACAGAUUGUAUAACAGAUCUGGAAAGUCAUAGUUCAUGGUCUUGCCUUUGCAAUUUCGUGUUUUUGUGCAAUAAA
Oreochromis niloticus (Nile tilapia) is the source of this 540-nucleotide long non-coding RNA. RefSeq lists it as uncharacterized. NCBI's taxonomy places the organism in Eukaryota, Metazoa, Chordata, Actinopteri, Cichliformes, Cichlidae. The record is from RefSeq and is a predicted model, not a curated record. The transcript is spliced from 3 exons.